Molecule: ribosomal RNA, 371 nt
Filed under: uncultured organism
Description: bacterial SSU rRNA
Rfam family: Bacterial small subunit ribosomal RNA
Source: RNAcentral
CAGAGGUCUCAACCGUUGUUCGGAUUCAUUGGGCGUAAAGGGUGCGUAGGCGGUCGCGCUAGUCGGAUGUGAAAUCUCGGGGCUCAACCCCGAAACUGCAUUCGAUACUGCGUGGCUCGAGUACUGGAGAGGAGACUGGAAUUUACGGUGUAGCAGUGAAAUGCGUAGAUAUCGUAAGGAGACCAGUGGCGAAGGCGAGUCUCUGGACAGUUACUGACGCUGAGGCACGAAGGCCAGGGGAGCAAACGGGAUUAGAUACCCCGGUAGUCCUGGCAGUAAACGGUGCACGUUUGGUGUAGGCGGAUUCGACCCCGCCUGUGCCGGAGCUAACGCGUUAAACGUGCCGCCUGGGAAGUACGGUCGCAAGAUUA